UACUCGAGUGGCGAACGGGUGAGUAACACGUGGGUGAUCUGCCCUGCACUCUGGGAUAAGCCUGGGAAACUGGGUCUAAUACCGGAUAGGACCGCACUUUAGUGUGUGUGGUGGAAAGUUUUUCGGUGUAGGAUGAGCCCGCGGCAUAUCAGCUUGUUGGUGGGGUAAUGGCCUACCAAGGCGGCGACGGGUAGCCGGACUGAGAGGUUGGUCGGCCACAUUGGGACUGAGAUACGGCCCAG
This 242-nucleotide ribosomal RNA is filed under the name uncultured Actinomycetales bacterium. RNAcentral's name for it is "partial 16S ribosomal RNA". It matches the Rfam family "Bacterial small subunit ribosomal RNA", at positions 88 to 334 of the family's 1533-position model. The record is from RNAcentral. Lineage: Bacteria; Bacillati; Actinomycetota; Actinomycetes; Actinomycetales.